This 849-nucleotide non-coding RNA is filed under the name Perkinsus marinus ATCC 50983. RNAcentral's name for it is "Eukaryotic small subunit ribosomal RNA". It matches the Rfam family "Eukaryotic small subunit ribosomal RNA", at positions 1 to 845 of the family's 1831-position model. Lineage: Eukaryota; Perkinsozoa; Perkinsida; Perkinsidae. The record is from Rfam by way of RNAcentral.
CACCUGGUUGAUCCUGCCAGUAGUCAUAUGCUUGUCUCAAAGAUUAAGCCAUGCAUGUCUAAGUAUAAGCUUUAAACGGCGAAACUGCGAAUGGCUCAUUAAAACAGUUAUAGUUUAUUUGGUGAUCGAUUACUAUUUGGAUAACCGUAGUAAUUCUAGAGCUAAUACAUGCGUCAAGGCCCGACUUCGGAAGGGCUGCGUUUAUUAGAUACAGAACCAACCUAGGCUCCGCCUAGUCCUUGUUGGUGAUUCAUAAUAACCCGGCGAAUCGCACGGCUUGUCCGGCGAUGGACCAUUCAAGUUUCUGACCUAUCAGCUAUGGACGGUAGGGUAUUGGCCUACCGUGGCGUUGACGGGUAACGGGGAAUUAGGGUUCGAUUCCGGAGAGGGAGCCUGAGAAACGGCUACCACAUCUAAGGAAGGCAGCAGGCGCGCAAAUUACCCAAUCCUGAUACAGGGAGGUAGUGACAAGAAAUAACAAUACAGGGCAAUUCUGUCUUGUAAUUGGAAUGAGUAGAUUUUAAAUCUCUUUACGAGUAUCAAUUGGAGGGCAAGUCUGGUGCCAGCAGCCGCGGUAAUUCCAGCUCCAAUAGCGUAUAUUAAAGUUGUUGCGGUUAAAAAGCUCGUAGUUGGAUUUCUGCCUUGGGCGACCGAUCCACCUUUCCUACGGGAUUGGUUGGUAUCAGGUUUGACCUUGGCUUUUUCUUGGGAUUCGUGCUCACGUACUUAACUGUGCGUUGACCGUGUUCCAAGACUUUUACUUUGAGGAAAUUAGAGUGUUUCAAGCAGGCUUAUGCCAUGAAUACAUUAGCAUGGAAUAAUAGGAUAUGACUUCGGUCAUAUUUGUUG